Molecule: non-coding RNA, 24 nt
Filed under: Drosophila erecta
Lineage: Eukaryota; Metazoa; Arthropoda; Insecta; Diptera; Drosophilidae
Also listed under: 1 other name
Source: RNAcentral
ACAUUCAUAACCGAGCGACUGUUC